Molecule: ribosomal RNA, 253 nt
Filed under: uncultured bacterium
Lineage: Bacteria
Description: partial 16S ribosomal RNA
Rfam family: Bacterial small subunit ribosomal RNA
Source: RNAcentral
UACAGAGGGUGCAAGCGUUGUUCGGAAUUAUUGGGCGUAAAGGGCGCGUAGGCGGCGCGACAAGUCACUUGUGAAAGCUCCUGGCUUAACUGGGAGAGGUCAACGGAAACUAUCAGGCUUGAGUAUGGGAGAGGGUACUGGAAUUCCCGGUGUAGCGGUGAAAUGCGCAGAGAUCGGGAGGAACACCUAUGGCGAAAGCAGGUACCUGGACCAUUACUGACACUCAGCUGCGAAAGCUAGGGGAGCAAACAGG